CCUACGGGGGGCAGCAGUGAGGAAUAUUGGUCAAUGGGCGAGAGCCUGAACCAGCCAAGUCGCGUGAGGGAAGACGGUCCUAUGGAUUGUAAACCUCUUUUGUCGGGGAGCAAAAAGGCCUCGUGAGGCCACAAGUGAGAGUACCCGAAGAAAAAGCAUCGGCUAACUCCGUGCCAGCCGCCGCGGUAAUACGGAGGAUGCGAGCGUUAUCCGGAUUUAGUGGGUUUAAAGGGUGCGUAGGCGGACUGGAAAGGCAGCGGUAAAAUCGAGAGGCUCAACCUCUUUCCGCCGUUGAAACUGUCGGUCGUGAGUGGGCGAGAAGUAUGCGGAAUGCGUGGUGUAGCGGUGAAAUGCAUAGAUAUCACGAAGAACUCCGAUUGCGAAGGCAGCAUACCGGCGCCCGACUGACGCUGAGGCACGAAAGCGUGGGUAUCGAACAGGAUUAGAUACCCUGGUAGUC
RNAcentral lists this ribosomal RNA (460 nucleotides) under uncultured bacterium. Its description in RNAcentral is "partial 16S ribosomal RNA". It matches the Rfam family "Bacterial small subunit ribosomal RNA", at positions 338 to 795 of the family's 1533-position model. The record is from RNAcentral.